AAAAUUUGGGAAUUCCAGGACUGGAAAUUUGGGAAUUUCAGGUCUGGAAAUUUGGGAAUUCUGACCCUGGAAAUUUGGGAAUUCUGGUCCCAGAAUUUUGGGAAUUCCAGGCCUGGAAAUUUGGGAAUUCUGGCCCUGGAAAUUUGGGAAUUCUGGCCCUGGAAAUUUGGGAAUUCUGGCCCCAAAAACUGGGAAUUUGGGCCCCAAAAUUUGGGAAUUCUGGUCCCAAAAAUUUGGGAAUUCUGGUCCCAGAAAUUUGGGGAUUCUGGCUCCGGAAAUUUGUGAAUUCUGGCCCCAAAAAUUUGGGAAUUCCAGGCCUGAAAAUUUUGGGAAUUCUGGCCCUGGAAAUUUGGGAAUUCCGGCCCCAAAAAUUGGGAAUUCUGGUCCCAGAAAUUUGGGAAUUUCAAUUUAUUUAGAUUUUUCCUCAAAUUUCCCUGGAUUCUUCCCAAAUUCCCUCACAUUCUCCGGGUUUUUCCCGGAAUUCUCGGGAAUUUUCCGGGAAUUUUCCGGGAUUUUCCCCGCGUUCCCUGUCCCGGUUCCCGGCCGGAGCCGCUCCCGGUUUUACCGGGGCUCGUUCCGUUCCAUUCCCCCCCCACACCGGCCCGGUGCUCCCCAUCCACCGGGAUCCCCCCGGGGUUACCCCACGGAAGUUUCCCCUCGCCUUUCCCCGUUCUCCCGGUGCUACCGGGGCCGCCCCACGGGCGGCCCCGGUAGCACCGGGAGAGCGGGGAAAGGCGUGGAAAAGCCUCAAACUCCGCCUCAGGACCCUCUGGGCUCGCCCUCCCCCAGCUCCACGUACCGCGGGCGGCGGGCCCGGCCCGCUCGGGGCUCAGCGGCGGCCGCGGCCUCCUCCCGGUGUCCCCGCCCGGCCCCGCCACGCCGGAAGUGCCGCUCCGACCGGAAGUACCGCGCCAACCGGAAGUGCCUCUCCAGCCGCAACUCGAUGGUAAAGGCGGAGCGAGGGGGCGUGGCUUAACAUGGCAAAGUCCCGCCCUUUCCGUAUCGCUAUUGGUUGGAGGCGCCUCACGUGACCCGCCCUCCCCGCGCGUUGAUUGGUUGAGGUCGCGCACUUCCGGGAGCGCCCGCGGCGGCGGCGGCGGCGCCGUGCCCGGUGAGCGCGCGCGGCGGGAGGUGCGAGCGCCCCCUGGUGGCGGGAGGGGAGGGAGGGAGGUCCCGCUCCCGGUGCCGCUCCCGGUCCCGGUGGCCCCGGUGUAUCGUUCGUAGCUUGUUCCGUUUCCCGCGGUCCUGUCCCCGGUGUCCCGGCGGCCCCCGGUGGUCGCGGUGCCCAGCAGGGAGAUGCUCUCGGUGCCUUCGCGUUGCCG
Molecule: long non-coding RNA, 1322 nt
Organism: Parus major (Great Tit)
Lineage: Eukaryota; Metazoa; Chordata; Aves; Passeriformes; Paridae
Source: Ensembl